AACUGAGACUAGACGAGUGCAGGAGUAGCGACUUCACCGCUACCAAAAUGCAACUCCAAGAGAGCUGAUGAACAGAGCAGAAUCAAAAGAGACCCAAAUCUCUGUUCCUCCUUUCUAUGACUUUCAAAUUCUAUUUCUUGGAUGUUUAUAUAUGUGUAGUAUUUCACUGUGUUUAUCUCAAUUUCCUGCUAAAUUCUCCCGACUCCCUUUUCUUUCUCUAUUUUCUCUCCUAAUGUAAGCUAUCUCUAACCUUUUUA
RNAcentral lists this unclassified non-coding RNA (257 nucleotides) under Hevea brasiliensis (rubber tree). Lineage: Eukaryota; Viridiplantae; Streptophyta; Magnoliopsida; Malpighiales; Euphorbiaceae. The record is from RNAcentral.